Molecule: ribozyme, 115 nt
Filed under: Aedes aegypti (yellow fever mosquito)
Lineage: Eukaryota; Metazoa; Arthropoda; Insecta; Diptera; Culicidae
Description: drz-agam-1 ribozyme
Rfam family: drz-agam-1 ribozyme
Source: Rfam by way of RNAcentral
UGCCCAGCAACUCCUAUCACUACCCUCGUGGUACUGGCCGGGGUACGAGUAACCUUGGGGAAGAUCGGGUAACCAACCCCCGGUGGGAACUUUGGUCGUAUGCUGACAGGGAAGG